This 78-nucleotide ribosomal RNA is filed under the name Alistipes shahii. Its description in RNAcentral is "partial 16S ribosomal RNA". The stretch from base 9 to 78 matches the Rfam family "Bacterial small subunit ribosomal RNA", at positions 1 to 70 of the family's 1533-position model. The record is from RNAcentral. Lineage: Bacteria; Pseudomonadati; Bacteroidota; Bacteroidia; Bacteroidales; Rikenellaceae.
CAUUUUUUACAAUGGAGAGUUUGAUCCUGGCUCAGGAUGAACGCUAGCGGCAGGCCUAACACAUGCAAGUCGAGGGGC